CCUAACACAUGCAAGUCGAACGGUAACAGGGAUUAGCUUGCUAAUCCGCUGACGAGUGGCGCACGGGUGCGUAACGCGUAUACAAUCUGCCUUUAAGCGGGGAAUAGCCCAUGGAAACGUGGAUUAAUACCCCAUAGUCUAUAAACUUCACCUGGAGAUUAUAGUAAACAUUUAUGGCUUAAAGAUGAGUAUGCGUCCUAUUAGUUAGUUGGUAAGGUAACGGCUUACCAAGACGGCGAUAGGUAGGGGUCCUGAGAGGGAGAUCCCCCACACUGGUACUGAGACACGGACCAGACUCCUACGGGAGGCAGCAGUGAGGAAUAUUGGACAAUGGAGGCAACUCUGAUCCAGCCAUGCCGCGUGCAGGAAGACGGCCCUAUGGGUUGUAAACUGCUUUUAUACGGGAAGAACCACAUCUACGUGUAGAUGCUUGACGGUACCGUAUGAAUAAGGACCGGCUAACUCCGUGCCAGCAGCCGCGGUAAUACGGAGGGUCCAAGCGUUAUCCGGAAUCAUUGGGUUUAAAGGGUCCGUAGGCGGGAUAAUAAGUCAGUGGUGAAAGUCUGCAGCUCAACUGUAGAAUUGCCAUUGAUACUGUUGUUCUUGAAUUAUUAUGAAGUGGUUGGAAUGAGUAGUGUAGCGGUGAAAUGCAUAGAUAUUACUCAGAACACCUAUUGCGAAGGCAGAUCACUAAUAAUAUAUUGACGCUGAGGGACGAAAGCGUAGGUAGCGAACAGGAUUAGAUACCCUGGUAGUCUACGCCGUAAACGAUGGUUACUAGCUGUUCGGCUCGAUUGAGAGCUGAGUGGUUAAGCGAAAGUGAUAA
RNAcentral lists this ribosomal RNA (826 nucleotides) under uncultured Christiangramia sp. RNAcentral's name for it is "bacterial SSU rRNA". It matches the Rfam family "Bacterial small subunit ribosomal RNA", at positions 47 to 863 of the family's 1533-position model. Lineage: Bacteria; Pseudomonadati; Bacteroidota; Flavobacteriia; Flavobacteriales; Flavobacteriaceae. The record is from RNAcentral.